UACGGAGGGCGCUAGCGUUGUUCGGAUAUACUGGGCGUAAAGCGCACGUAGGCGGCGCCGUAAGUCAGGUGUGAAAUCCCCGGGCUCAACCCGGGAACUGCACUUGAAACUGCCAGUCUUGAGUGAUGGAGAGGAUGGCGGAAUUCCUGGUGUAGAGGUGAAAUUCGUAGAUAUCAGGAGGAACACCGGUGGCGAAGGCGGCCAUCUGGAAAUCUACUGACGCUGAGACGCGAAAGCGUGGGGAGCAAACAGG
Molecule: ribosomal RNA, 253 nt
Filed under: uncultured bacterium
Lineage: Bacteria
Description: partial 16S ribosomal RNA
Rfam family: Bacterial small subunit ribosomal RNA
Source: RNAcentral